This 237-nucleotide ribosomal RNA is filed under the name uncultured bacterium. RNAcentral describes it as "partial 16S ribosomal RNA". It matches the Rfam family "Bacterial small subunit ribosomal RNA", at positions 1257 to 1500 of the family's 1533-position model. The record is from RNAcentral.
GUGAGGUGGAGCAAAACUCAAAAACUUAGUCUCAGUUCGGAUUGUAGGCUGAAACUCGCCUACAUGAAGCUGGAGUUGCUAGUAAUCGCGCAUCAGCCACGGCGCGGUGAAUACGUUCCCGGGGCCUUGUACACACCGCCCGUCAAGCCAUGGGAGCCGGGGGUACCUGAAGUACGUAACCGCAAGGAGCGUCCUAGGGUAAAACUGGUGACUGGGGCUAAGUCGUAACAAGGUAUC